Molecule: ribosomal RNA, 465 nt
Filed under: uncultured bacterium
Lineage: Bacteria
Description: partial 16S ribosomal RNA
Rfam family: Bacterial small subunit ribosomal RNA
Source: RNAcentral
CUACGGGGGGCUCCAGUGGGGAAUAUUGGACAAUGGGGGAAACCCUGACCCAGCAAUGCCGCGUGUGUGAAGAAGGCCUGCGGGUUGUAAAGCACUUUCGGUUGGGAGGACUGCUUCUAGCACUAAUAUUGUUGGAAGUUGACGUUACCUUCAGAAGAAGCACCGGCUAACUCCGUGCCAGCAGCCGCGGUAAUACGGAGGGUGCAAGCGUUAAUCGGAAUUACUGGGCGUAAAGCGCGCGUAGGCGGCUAGAUCAGUCGGGUGUGAAAGCCCCGGGCUUAACCUGGGAACUGCAUCCGAUACUGGCUAGCUUGAGUACAGGAGAGGAGAGUGGAAUUCCACAUGUAGCGGUGAAAUGCGUAGAUAUGUGGAGGAACACCAAUGGCGAAGGCAGCUCUCUGGCCUGAUACUGACGCUGAGUUGCGAAAGCGUGGGGAGCAAACAGGAUUAGAUACCCCCGUAGUC